AUUGAACGCUGGCGGCAUGCCUUACACAUGCAAGUCGAACGGUAACAGGUCUUCGGAUGCUGACGAGUGGCGAACGGGUGAGUAAUACAUCGGAACGUGCCUAGUAGUGGGGGAUAACUACUCGAAAGAGUGGCUAAUACCGCAUGAGAUCUACGGAUGAAAGCAGGGGACCGCAAGACCUUGUGCUACUAGAGCGGCCGAUGGCAGAUUAGGUAGUUGGUGGGAUAAAAGCUUACCAAGCCGACGAUCUGUAGCUGGUCUGAUAGGACGAUCAGCCACACAGGGACGUAGACACGGCAGAGACUCAUACGGGAGGCAGCCGUGGUGAAUUGUGGACAAUGGGCGAAAGCCUGAUCCAGCAAUGCCGCGUGCAGGAUGAAGGCCUUCGGGUUGUAAACUGCUUUUGUACGGAACGAAAAGCCCCGGGUUAAUACCCUGGGGUCAUGACGGUACCGUAAGAAUAAGCACCGGCUAACUACGUGCCAGCCGCCGCGGUAA
This 498-nucleotide ribosomal RNA is filed under the name uncultured bacterium. RNAcentral's name for it is "partial 16S ribosomal RNA". It matches the Rfam family "Bacterial small subunit ribosomal RNA", at positions 30 to 523 of the family's 1533-position model. The record is from RNAcentral.